This 481-nucleotide ribosomal RNA is filed under the name uncultured bacterium. RNAcentral's name for it is "partial 16S ribosomal RNA". It matches the Rfam family "Bacterial small subunit ribosomal RNA", at positions 28 to 507 of the family's 1533-position model. The record is from RNAcentral.
GACGAACGCUGGCGGCGUGCUUAACACAUGCAAGUCGAACGGGCUCCGGGCUUUCGGGUUUGGCGAGAGUGGCGAACGGGUGAGUAACUAGUGAGUAACCAGCCCCCUUAUUUGGGUUAACGACGGUAAAUCAGCGCUAAUUCUGGAUGUUCUUGCUUCUUAGCAUGAUGUUGUUUGGAAAGUAUUUCGUGUUGGGGUUGGGCUCGCGGGCUAUCGGCGUGUGGGUAGGGUGAUGGAAUACAAAGGCUUUGACGGGUAGCCGGCCUGAGACGGUGUCCGGCCACACUGAGACAGGGACACGACCCAGACGCGUGAGGGAAGUAGCAGAGGUGAAGAUAGGACAAUGAGCGUAAGCCUGAUGCAGCGACGCAGUGUGAAGGAUGACCGGCUUCUGAUUGUAAGCCUCUUUCAGUAUGGAACAAUGUACCUACUUGUGGGGGGUUUGACGGUACGUACAGAAGAAGCGCCGGCUAACUACGUG